Molecule: ribosomal RNA, 509 nt
Filed under: uncultured bacterium
Lineage: Bacteria
Description: bacterial SSU rRNA
Rfam family: Bacterial small subunit ribosomal RNA
Source: RNAcentral
GACCAAGGCAACGAUCCGUAGCGGGUCUGAGAGGAUGAUCCGCCACACUGGGACUGAGACACGGCCCAGACUCCUACGGGAGGCAGCAGUGGGAAUUUGGACAAUGGGCGCAAGCCUGAUCCAGCCAUGCCGCGUGAGUGAAGAAGGCCUUCGGGUUGUAAAGCUCUUUCGGCUGGGAAGAAAUCGCAUCUCCUAAUACGGGGUGUGGAUGACGGUACCAGCAUAAGAAGCACCGGCUAACUACGUGCCAGCAGCCGCGGUAAUACGUAGGGUGCGAGCGUUAAUCGGAAUUACUGGGCGUAAAGCGUGCGCAGGCGGUUUCGUAAGACAGAGGUGAAAUCCCCGGGCUCAACCUGGGAACUGCCUUUGUGACUGCGAGGCUAGAGUAUGGCAGAGGGGGGUGGAAUUCCACGUGUAGCAGUGAAAUGCGUAGAGAUGUGGAGGAACACCGAUGGCGAAGGCAGCCCCCCUGGGCCAAUACUGACGCUCAUGCACGAAAGCGUGGGGAG